UACAGAGGAGCCAAGCGUUGUCCGGAUUGACUGGGCGUAAAGCGCACGCAGGCGGGUGCGCGCGUGGGGGGUGAAAUCUGGCCGCUUAACGGCCAGGCGCCAUCCCAUACGGCGCGCCUGGAGCCUUGCAGAGGUCGGUGGAAUUGCCGGUGUAGUGGUGAAAUGCGUAGAUAUCGGGAGGAACACCAGUGGCGAAGGCGACUACCUGGCCUGUUCUUGACGCUGAGGCGCGAAAGCUAGGGGAGCAAACGGG
This 253-nucleotide ribosomal RNA is filed under the name uncultured bacterium. RNAcentral's name for it is "partial 16S ribosomal RNA". It matches the Rfam family "Bacterial small subunit ribosomal RNA", at positions 524 to 776 of the family's 1533-position model. The record is from RNAcentral.